This 892-nucleotide long non-coding RNA is filed under the name Homo sapiens (human). Its description in RNAcentral is "non-protein coding lnc-ZMYND8-8:1". Lineage: Eukaryota; Metazoa; Chordata; Mammalia; Primates; Hominidae. The record is from RNAcentral.
GCCUAACCUGCUAAGCUGGUUCUGCUACUUACAAAGCUGUGUGAUAGUGGCUGGUUAUUUGAACUUUCUGUGCCUCCAUUUCCUAAAGUGAGAACACUGAUAAUGAUAAUAAUAGCAACAACAAUAAUGCUUAUGUCAUAGGGUAUUAUCAGGAUUAAAUAGAACAGCAUAGUGAAAGCUCUAAACACAGUGUCAAGCACAGAGCACUCAAAUGUUAAUAAUGAUAAUGUAUGGCAGUUCCAAACUUGCUUCGUAGGGGUUAAUAUCCAAGGGUUAGUAACAAUGUUCUCCUCCCUCACCCCACACCAUAUUUUGCUUCAUGAUAGUAAUUACAGUGUGAAAUUUCCCUGCAAGUGAAAAUAGAUUCCUUGGGUAGAAGCCUAAACCCUGCACAUGCCUAAAACUCUGUUACGAAAUACCUAAUCUGAAAAUGAGCUGGCACAGCCCCAAGCUCCACCCCCAGGCUGUACUCUGAACCACUUUUCUCCCUGGGAAGGACACACAACUGAGGGGGAAAGAGAGAGCAGAAGAGAGAGAUCAAAAAAUGCAAUUUAGGGUAAACAAGUACUUGACUUCUUGUUUUGCUUAAAAGAGGGGAAAAACACCCCUGAGAAGAAUCAUAUUUAAGACAAAUUUUUGGAGAUAAAGAGCAGCCUGAGCUUUACAACCCAGAGUUGCCUUAUUCAUGCCUCUUCCUUUAAACUCAAAUCAGGGUUUGGUGACCUGUGAUUUUUGUGCCAGAGAUGACACAUGCGCCUGUUGGAAUUGGCACCUGGCCUGGCUGCAACAGACUUGUCCUGCUCCACAACCUGCAAAUGACUCCACAGCUGGAAGAAUUUGAAGCCCAGCUCAUUUUUGUUUUGCUUUUCCUUUCUAGACUUACAUAUUAAAC